RNAcentral lists this ribosomal RNA (492 nucleotides) under uncultured bacterium. Its description in RNAcentral is "partial 16S ribosomal RNA". It matches the Rfam family "Bacterial small subunit ribosomal RNA", at positions 29 to 507 of the family's 1533-position model. The record is from RNAcentral.
AGUGAACGCUGGCGGUAGGCCUAACACAUGCAAGUCGAACGGCAGCACAGUAAGAGCUUGCUCUUACGGGUGGCGAGUGGCGGACGGGUGAGGAAUACAUAGGAAUCUACUUUUUCGUGGGGGAUAACGUAGGGAAACUUACGCUAAUACCGCAUACGACCUACGGGUGAAAGCAGGGGAUCUUCGGACCUUGCGCGAUUGAAUGAGCCGAUGUCGGAUUAGCUAGUUGGCGAGGUAAAGGCCCACCAAGGCGACGAUCCGUAGCUGGUCUGAGAGGAUGAUCAGCCACACUGGAACUGAGACACGGUCCAGACUCCUACGGGAGGCAGCAGUGGGGAAUAUUGGACAAUGGGCGCAAGCCUGAUCCAGCCAUACCGCGUGGGUGAAGAAGGCCUUCGGGUUGUAAAGCCCUUUUGUUGGGAAAGAAAAGCAGCAGGUUAAUACCCCGCUGUUCUGACGGUACCCAAAGAAUAAGCACCGGCUAACUUCGUG